UUUUGGUAAGGUUUUGGCUUGGCUUUGGUGGAAGGAAGACAAAACAAAGCUUUGGUCUUCUAUGGUGUAAGCUACGGCAAUUGUGUGAUGGAGAAGAUGAAAAUCCCUUUUUCACUUUGCUUUAUCAUUUCUCCUUUCCUUAGUUAGGUGACACAUGGAAAGUAAAUCUAAAUUUUUAUGUUUUAACUUUCCAUAUUUAUACUUUGACCUACUAAACUCUUUCCAAUGUUUCAAUUUAGUUUUUAAACUUUCAAUAAUCAUAGAUUGACCUACUAAACUAUACAUAUAGCCUUUAGAAGCCCUUUUCACUUAAGCAAGCAUGACGGAUAUAAACAAGCACCUCAAGCAAGCACGUCGGGAAACCCUAAGCACCUCCCGAAAGUGACUCGUUCCCGACUCGCUAAUCACACUGUCUGCUUUAUUUCUGGAUAUGUCCGUUUCUUUAUUUAAGUUUUCUAUGAUUCAGUUAUUAGCAGAUUAGAGUUAAGCUAGCACCUCCCCUAAUGCCCCUUACUCUAGGAAUGAAAUAGCCU
Molecule: long non-coding RNA, 533 nt
Filed under: Manihot esculenta (cassava)
Lineage: Eukaryota; Viridiplantae; Streptophyta; Magnoliopsida; Malpighiales; Euphorbiaceae
Description: long non-coding RNA (MESC_LNC007553)
Source: RNAcentral